Molecule: ribosomal RNA, 305 nt
Filed under: uncultured bacterium
Lineage: Bacteria
Description: bacterial SSU rRNA
Rfam family: Bacterial small subunit ribosomal RNA
Source: RNAcentral
UCCUACGGGAGGCAGCAGUGAGGAAUAUUGGUCAAUGGACGCAAGUCUGAACCAGCCAUGCCGCGUGCAGGAAGACGGCUCUAUGAGUUGUAAACUGCUUUUGUACGAGGGUAAACGCAGAUACGUGUAUCUGUCUGAAAGUAUCGUACGAAUAAGGAUCGGCUAACUCCGUGCCAGCAGCCGCGGUAAUACGGAGGAUUCAAGCGUUAUCCGGAUUUAUUGGGUUUAAAGGGUGCGUAGGCGGGCUGUUAAGUCAGCGGUCAAAUGUCGGGGCUCAACCCCGGCCUGCCGUUGAAACUGGCGGC